RNAcentral lists this ribosomal RNA (494 nucleotides) under uncultured bacterium. RNAcentral describes it as "bacterial SSU rRNA". It matches the Rfam family "Bacterial small subunit ribosomal RNA", at positions 28 to 528 of the family's 1533-position model. The record is from RNAcentral.
GAUGAACGCUAGCGGCAGGCUUAACACAUGCAAGUCGAGGGGUAUAGUUCUUCGGAACUAGAGACCGGCGCACGGGUGCGUAACGCGUAUGCAAUCUACCUUUCACAGAGGGAUAGCCCAGAGAAAUUUGGAUUAAUACCUCAUAGUAUAGUACCUUGGCAUCAAGGAACUAUUAAAGAUUUAUCGGUGAAAGAUGAGCAUGCGUCCCAUUAGCUAGUUGGUAAGGUAACGGCUUACCAAGGCUACGAUGGGUAGGGGUCCUGAGAGGGAGAUCCCCCACACUGGUACUGAGACACGGACCAGACUCCUACGGGAGGCAGCAGUGAGGAAUAUUGGUCAAUGGGCGCAAGCCUGAACCAGCCAUGCCGCGUGCAGGAUGACGGUCCUAUGGAUUGUAAACUGCUUUUGUACAGGAAGAAACACUCCCUCGUGACGGGANCUUGACGGUACUGUAAGAAUAAGGAUCGGCUAACUCCGUGCCAGCAGCCGUACGG